UACGAAGGGUGCAAACGUUGCUCGGAAUUAUUGGGCGUAAAGCGCACGUAGGCGGCUUGGCAAGUCGGAUGUGAAAUCCCUCGGCUCAACCAAGGAAGUGCAUCCGAAACUGCUGAGCUUGAGUACUUAAGAGGAUCGCGGAAUUCCCGGUGUAGAGGUGGAAUUCGUAGAUAUCAGGAAGAACACCAAUGGCGAAAGCAGCUCUCUGGGACGGUACUGACGCUGAGACGCGAAAGCGUGGGGAGCGAACAGG
RNAcentral lists this ribosomal RNA (253 nucleotides) under uncultured bacterium. Its description in RNAcentral is "partial 16S ribosomal RNA". It matches the Rfam family "Bacterial small subunit ribosomal RNA", at positions 524 to 776 of the family's 1533-position model. The record is from RNAcentral.